RNAcentral lists this transfer RNA (92 nucleotides) under Betaproteobacteria bacterium. RNAcentral's name for it is "tRNA-Ser". It matches the Rfam family "tRNA". From Rfam's summary of the family: Transfer RNA (tRNA) molecules are approximately 80 nucleotides in length. Lineage: Bacteria; Pseudomonadati; Pseudomonadota; Betaproteobacteria. RNAcentral also lists the same sequence under 2 other names. The record is from RNAcentral.
GGAGAGGUGGCUGAGUGGCCGAAAGCGGCGCUUUGCUAAAGCGUUGUAGGCGUAAAAACCUACCGGGGGUUCGAAUCCCCCCCUCUCCGCCA